This is a long non-coding RNA of Columba livia (rock pigeon), 10277 nucleotides long. RefSeq lists it as uncharacterized. The record is from RefSeq and is a predicted model, not a curated record. The transcript is spliced from 4 exons. Lineage: Eukaryota; Metazoa; Chordata; Aves; Columbiformes; Columbidae.
GCCGGUGCAGGGAGCGGGGCCAGGGCAUCCCCCGCCACCGCCCUCCCGCUGUUCUCUCCGCGGGACCCAGCGCGGUCCCCGCAGGCUGCGGGGCUGGGGUGGAGAGGGGGAGCCGGGCACCGCACUGCCCGGUCCCAGUCUCUGUGAGCCGGGGCCACCGCCCCGGUGUGUCCCGGGCUCUGCCGCCAGGCGCGGGGCCGCCGGGCGCAGCUCUGCCCGCGGGGAGGCUGCCAGGACACCAUUCCGCGGCUGGACCCCGUGCGGCCCCUUUAAGGGCGCAGGGGGCUCCCUCCGGGCAGCGCCGCAUGGCGCGGCGGCGGCAGCGCGUGGGAGUCACGUGGGCGGGACGUGGAGGCAGCCUAUUGGCCCCCGCCCCCUGCCCGCUGCAAUCAGCUGUUACUGGGGCGAAGGGCAGGAAACGUCCUUAAAGGGGCACCGCACCCCUGAACCCCGCCCCCCACCCGGCUCGGUCCGCAGCAGCUGGGGCGGGAGCGCUGCGGCUGCCCGCAGGGCUGUGGUGGCCCCGCUCGCUUGGCCUAGCCGGGCGGCCGCCGCCCCCGCCCUCCACCCCCGCGGCUGGGGCGGAGGGUGCGGCCCCUUUAAAUAAGUUGUCCAGUCAUCGCGCGGCGCUGCCAAGUCAUCGGGGUCAGCCGAGUUCCCGCAGCUCCGCCCCCCACGGCCGCCUAUUGGUGCGCACGGCAAGCGCUCACUUCUGAUUGGCCGCCGACUUAGAGCAACUUCUCGGAAUCGGGGCUGUGUCACCGGCCCCAAGCGAUGAAAGGCGCGGGCGGCGCCGCCCGAGGGCGGGAGGGGGCGGCCGGGGCGGCCCCGAGACAGCGCCGCGCCCCGGCAGGAGCCUCCGGUGCGGGCCGGGCCCUUUCAGAGCCGCCCUCCCCCCACCGCCUCCUUCACCCUCUUGAAAAUGCCAACUCACAGCACGCGGGGCAUGCCGGGAGCGCCGCGCCGCACUACACCUCCCGGCAUGCCCCGCGGUGGGGCGGGCCCAGCCGUUUCCUAGGCAACCGCCGGUUGGCCAGGGGUGAGCCCAGCGCUCCCCCAACGGGGUGGGCGGGGCAGAGAGCCGGCUUUGCCUUCCCAUUGGCUGGGUGGCAGCCGGUGUUUGGUCGCCAUUGGCGGGAGCGGACAGCACUCGCGGCGGGGGCGGGCGCGGCGGGGGCGGGGCUCGCACCGCCCGUCCCGGGAGGCGAUUGGCCGGGGGCGGGGCCGGUGGGUGGCUGCGUCAUGACUCCGCCAGCUGAUCCGAGACGGGAGCCGGCGCGCGGCGGCGGGGGGAGCGGCGGCACCGGGUCGGGUGGUGGCGGCGCCGCGCAGGUGCUGCCCUGCCGCCCUGCUCCUGGCUAACCAGCACCAGUUCUUCAGUGGCAAGCUUUAUGUCCUUCUCUAGUAGCUAAAGCUGCCAGUUGAAGAACUGUUGAAUGUAGCCACUCGCUUCUCGUCACCGGUGCCUUGAAUGUCAGCUGGAUCUGCGCCUCGAGUGACUAGGAUGGGCCAGUCUGCAGCAUCCCGUGGAUUUGCGGGCUGAGGAUGAGUCCGACUGGGAUGAAGAAGUCUCCUCUCGGACUCCAUACGGAGCCUUGUCUGGGGAUUGCCAGGCAGCCCUGCCAGUGGGGCUGUCAAGCAGGGUUUCCCCCACUGGUGGGGUGGCACUGAGUUGAAAGAUAACUAGAGAAGACCGAAAGAGGCAUUAAACUUUCUGUUUUGUUCAACAGUUCAGUUUUUAGGAAGUUUGUUGCCUGUGGGGUGCCUGGACCUGCCGGGCAGGAGGGUGGUGGGGGCUGCAGACCCACAGGUUGCUGGGGUGGGCAUAGCACUGGAGCUCAGUCCCUGGCUGAUGCUGCAUUGGUCUCCACGGGUGGAGGGUUGGUUGUUCAGGCCCCUUUGGUUUGUCCCAAGCAAAAGAGGCGACCUGAGGCUGGGUGUAGCUUGCAGGACUGACCUGCUGCUGAGCCCAGGAGCAGGGUUAAUCCUGCACGGUGCCAGGCAGUGGGAUGGAGCUGGAGGAGAGGGCCGGCCCCACACCCACACUGCCCUGGUGCGGGUUGGGGCCGGGCUGCCGGGAGCGGGUGACUCAGGGCCGAGUCACGCACAGCCCCAGACGUCUGUUCCGGGAACCAUGGUCCUGCAAGGCUGGGCAGCCCCAUCCGCAGCUGGGACUGGGCCAGGAUUCCCAGUAUUUGGAGCUGGCAGCACUGAAAAGGGCCCAGGUGAACCUUGCUGGGCUCCUCUGUGGUCCAGGUUCUGCUUUGUUGAAGCAGAAGUCUGUCCUAAAGGAGACUUGGAAACUGCUCUCCAGGGAUGGAGACCCCCCCUGCCUUGCACUGGGUGAGAGUGGAGCUGUAGAGCUCCUCCCCUAUGGCUCAGAGCAGAGUGAAAUGUCUGUGUGGACCUAGUGAGGGCUCCUGAGAGCCCCUGCACCCCUAGAGGUGCCUGUCCCAUGGGGCUGCCAGGGCCACCACCUCCCCUGGUGGCUGGGGAGCAGAGAGGUGUCUGGGUGCUGCUGCUCGGGGUCUGCCAGGAAGAUCACAGCUUGUCCCAGCUCUGAGGGUGAGCAGGGAGGGACGACCCUGCGCUGAAAUAAGUCUGCAGAGUCUCAACUAAAUCUGCCUGUCUGAGUUCCAGCUGCUCAAGGCAUGGCUGUUACCAAAUUGUGGCACUUAGCAAUGUGCAGAAAGUGGUCUGGCGUCCGUUAAGUGUUAUAAAUGGGGAAGCCUGUUGUCCUGGGGUCCUUCCUUCUUACAGAGAGCUGGUUUGCUUGAUGUGUGCUUGCUGAUGGCUACAAGAAGCCAAGUUUCUUUGGGAUCAUUGUGACCCAGAGUGAGCAGGGCUGCCUGAACCCCCUUGCAUCGCUCUCUGAGCAGAAAGGACUGUGGAUGGACACCUCUGGCUUGAGGCAGAGUCGACCUCUUCCACCACAGCUGCCCUGCUUCAAGUCCAUACAAAAUAGCCAGCACCUGCUCAGUGCUCGACAGGUCCUGGAGUGCACCAAGGGGGCAGAAAAGUCGUGAAGGUGUGUGUGCAGGAUACUCAAGGGCAAGGAGGAGCAGCUCCCGGGCUGUGCUCACCCUCCCGUGCAUCACAGUGUGGUGCUGUCAACGCUUGGUGUGGAAGGGAACUCUCUAUUCCAGCCACCAGCAUCUCCACCCUUGCGUGCCUUGGCGUUGGGGUAAUGAUUAGAUUUGCUGCUUCCUCCUGUUGCCGAAAAACACCGACCCGACCUGCUGAAAACCAGCUCUGUGCCCAGUAAGAUGUGGUUAUUUCAGAGUAGAGAGUUGCCCUAAGCAGACGCACCAAGCUCCUGAGGUCAGGAAAUGUAAACCGCCACCUUUAUAGUCAAUUUUUCAGAUGUGAGAAGGUGCCAGAGUGCAAGUUAUUGUAUUUAGUGCAAAACCAGCACCCUAGUAUCUCACCUGCUGGGCAAACAGGCUUGGGCUCAUGGUUAACCUGCAUUUAAUGUGAAAGCAGAGGGUUUUUAGGGUGACAAAGUCAGUGUCCCUGCAGGAACUUGCCCAGCUCUCAGGGUUUACUCUUCCUCCUGCAAAGCCCCAUGUGACCAGUGAGUAAGUACAGUGUUUCCUGUAGAAAGCACAGCUUUGCUUGCUGCUGCCUUGCAAAAAUCCAGUGACUCUUUCCUCCAGCAUCAAGGCUGCAUUUUCUACAGCAUCUGGUCACCUCCUCGAAGCAUCCAGCACGCAGGGACACGGCGGGAGAGGAGACACCAGCCAAGGCUGCUGUCAGGGAGUGGGAAUCGCUUGCUGCAGCAGAUAUUGUGAUAUUUGAGGCAGCUGUAGCAAUGCCCGCAGGUGCUGCUGGCUCAGAUGGGAUGGCAGCCCUCUGUCCUUAGGGGUAAGGUAUUUCGUGUGAGCUCCUACACACAGACUAUCUAGUUCCCAGCUGGGAGAGCAGCUUGCCUUGGUCACAGCUCCCCUUGCUGGGAAAAAGUGCUUUUUGCAAAGCAGAAGGUCAGCGUGACCGGUGUGCUGAACCCAAGCUCCCUGCCAACAGCCAGCGAGAGGAGCAGGAGGGGCUGGUGGAUCUGUGAACGUGUGGCUGCUUCUGCCUGCUCAGACCCUCAGCUGAGCCCCAGGACCUGAGCGUCCUCCUCUUGUCCAGCCCAGCAGGUCCCUGCCUGGAAGAGAGGGGAAAGCGCUGCUUUGCUCUGCCCCAGUAUGCAGGCAAGCAGCCGAGGGCUGUCUGCAAGCACAAAAUGCAGGUGCUGGGUUCAGCUUUGCUCAUAAUUUUAUUUCUCUUGUGCCACGACAGGAGGAUGCGGAGCUGGUAACGCUUGCUUGACUCUGUGCCACUCACGGCAGGGCGCGUACCAAGCUUUCUGCCAGUGAGGGUGUAUUGCAGACAUCGCAGGCCCUGCAAGCAGGAGGUAUGUUGCAGAUUUGCACUAAAUUAUCUUUGUGUCUCUCAGUGGACUCUGCUGGCAUGGGGAACACAGCGCAGUGCCACCCACCAGCCUGGUCAGGGUGUCACUUACUCUGCUUCUUCUUUAGAGAUUUGUUUCCCCGAGUAUAAAACUUCUGCAAUCAGGGACACCAUGGGGUCACAGUUCAGGCUGGCGGCUGCAGUCACGAAGCCAUCCCUGAAAGGGAAAGCGGAAGAACGUGGAUGUCCUCACUGUACAUAGCUCAGCAUGGCAGCAUCCCCAUGGCAGCCUGGCUGGAGCCCAGCUGUAUUUUGGAGGGCUCAGAGGAGGGUGGCUGGUGCUGCAGGGUGUGCGGGUACUUGUGACAGAUCGCCUGGUGCUGCUGGGAGCUGGGCACCGAGCCUGGGAGCAGCGGGGCAGAGGGAGAGGAGAUGUGUCCCAGGCUCCCUGCCCAGCUGGUGUCUUCGUCAGAGCUCAUUCUCUUCUCCUUCCCUGCUUCGGUUUGCUCUGAAACCACCUCACUGCUGGUUCAACAGCCAGCAGCUGCCUGCAGUGCGUGGCCAUGGGAGGUGAUGUGGAGCCUCUGCAGGCUGUAAGGGACAGAACCAUGUCCUGUUCCCAGGGCACUGCUGUGUCAGGGCACCAACCAGCCACAAGUUCACUCACCUGAUGUAAAAGAUCAAGAACUUCUGUUGCUCCAGGCUGCCCUUCACAACAGUGUCCGUGUAUCCCUUCCCGCAGCCUAAGAGAGACAGAGAACAUCACAGCCCACUCGGGGAGCCCUGGUACCACAGCUGGCACCUGUCCCACCUCAGUGUCAUCACAGGUAGGGGCAGAGGGGACAGUGACUGGCUGGAGCUGGGAACAGCGAUGGGGAGCGGACAUAGACACCGUGAACAAGCAGAACAGACCCAGAAAUGCAGGACUGCGUCAUGACCCCAAGCCUCUCCUUGCCUUAGAGAGGGAAUUUCUUCCUCCUUUGUGACCUCUAAGCCACCGGAGAUCAGAAAGAACAAGAGCUCUGGGUAACCUGCUGGCCCAGAGCUCAGAAACAGGGUUCACAAACUCAGUCCAAAACUUGAGCUGCUUCAGGUAAACUCUGCACCCCCUGUGUGUUUACAAGCCCCAGACCCUGCUGGUGGAUGAGCAGAUGGGCUUGGAAGCAGUUCAGCUCUUCCCAUCUCUCCGCCUCCUCCUACCUGCAUAGCGGAUGCUUUUGCCAAGCAUCCUGGUCCAGAAGAAGGGGACAAUGUGCAGCUUCUUCUCUCUCUUCAGCAUGUUAAAGGCAGCAAUGUGACCUGUGAUGAGCCAGGAGAAGAAAUAGUUUUGUUGCUUGUAGGUCCUCAAAAAAGUGCCCUGUGCCUCUUGUUUCCCUGCUGUCCUCUCUGUCCUGUUCCUCCCAUGCCCAUCUUCCUGUCUCACCAUGGGCCUCUGCCACCUGUUGGUGAUGGAUGCUAGACUGUUCCCAGCCGAGAAGCUCUACAGGAAAGGAGACCACAUCCCCAGCAGCGAAGACAUUUGGGAUGUUGGUUCGCAUGUGCUGAUGGGACAAAAAGCAAUUAGUGCAAUGAUGAGAGGGACGGGACUGGGUGUGGACCGAGAAUGCUCAGCUGGCACUUACUAGAUCCACCAGGAUGGCGCUGCUGUCAUCUCUGGCGAUGGAGGUGCCCUUCAGAAAUGUGGAGUUGGGGACCACUCCUGCAGGAAGAGGAGCAAAGACAAAUGCAGCAAAGCUCGGCAAAGGCAGGGAGGAAAUUUGCCUUGGCCCUACAGCAAAAAUGUGUGUGUUCAGCCUGCUUGGAGCCCAGCAGCUCACAGCAGUGACUGGUUCUUGGGCUGGUGCUGGGCUAAUCCAGGGGCAAUAAAACUAAGGUGCAGAACAAGGUGUGCUCUGAUACCACAGCAGGGACCUGCGGAGCUCAGCAAGUGAACCAGGGUCACUCUGAGAGCGUAAGUAGCUCCUUCCUCCUGCUGCUGCUUGUGGGCUGCUGAUGUUCUCCAGGUGCUCAGGGACAAGAGGAAGGGUUGGAUGACAGCAGAGCAAGAAAGGUACUGCAGGGAGCGGUGUCCUGGGGACGCACUGGGGUGCUCUGGGCUUGCUGGCUGUUCUCCCCACUCCCAAAGCCACCUCCCUCUCCCAGCUGGGCUCUCAUACCUAUUCCCACCACUACCACAUCGGCAGGUAUAUUCUCUCCACUGGAAAGAACAGCCUCUGUGACCUAGGAAGGAAGCAAGAAUCGUUAACAAAGGGUUAAAAACUCUGUCCUAAUUCCUGCAGUCUCCCUGCUGCCUCAUUCUUUGCUGUCUUCUUUCUUCCCCAGGUUCAGAUCACCUUGUCCAACUAAUGUGUGUUGCCAGGAAUGUAAGAGAAAAUCACACUGAUGUCCCUGAGAUAUGAACAGAUACUGGUGCCCUUUGAGUUCAGAGUUGUGCUCAAUGAGAAGAAAUGUGAGGGUCUAAAUGUGGGAGAGGAAAGCCUAGGUGAAGGCACUGGCUUAUGCCUCAGUUUGUUUUUUUUCCCCUAAAAUUAACAGUUGAUUGAUCACAAUGGCAUGACUGACCUUUCCAUCCUUUCCUUUCAGCUCACGGAGUUCUGUUUCCAUGUAAAACUUCACCCCGUUAUUUUGCAGCAUCUGAAAAGGAAGAGGAAGCUGGUUGGAGUAUUCACAAGGAAAUUCCAGGCUGUGCUGCUGUAAAAAACAGCCGUACCCAGCCAAAACCCAGGCAGGCGGCUCAGCUGCUGCGGAGCGGUUUCGUUUGUGUCCCUGGCUGGUGCAGGCUGCCUGGAAGCCUGGCUUUGAUGCCCUGGUCAGGACUCUAGGAUGAAGCAGGGCUUGGGGAUGAAGCUGAGCUGGAGAGUGCAACUUGUGUGCGAGGGAGGUUGGGACCAGCUGUGUGUGUGCAGCUGGGGCUGUGAGAAAGUUGGCUGGGCAUAUGAGGUUGUCACUCAGGACAAUGGCUGGAUUUCCCAGGCCAUUGCAGAUCACAGGGCUGCUUGGGUAGCAUGUGUUCUCCAUCCUAGAAAUUAGCAGCAGGUUUUCCUCACCUUCAUGGCGACACCUCCAACCUCAGGACCCAGCGCAUGCUGGAAAGGGAACUCCUUUUUUUCCACCACUGAGACUGCACCAGCCUUGUCUGAGAGGAAGGCAGCGAUCUCCAUUCCUGCAAGGGGAAGGCAUGCCCGAGGUGAGCCUGCUGCAAGCAGGAACCUGCACCUUCCUCCUUGGAAAGCUUUUCCCUUUCCAGGUGAGGAGAACAAAUCUGAUGUCGUGCCACUGUUGAGCUACUCCUCUCUGCGUUUCUGGGCUGAGGUAUUCAGCCUCCCUGUUCUUUCUUCUCAUGCACUACAGACCUGGAUAUUAGGAAAUGCAAAAAACACCUUCUAGCUGUGUACAAAGUAGCUCCCUUUCCAUGCCUUACUCCCUCACUUUCCCAAUGCUUCUAGAGAGUCCAGCUCCUCUGAAGGACAGUGACCUUUUCACAAGGCACAUUUCCCUCUGUGCAUAUCCACAAAUUGUUUAUAACUCUCAAAGUUUAUGGCUGUCAGAGGAAACAGUGAGUAUGUGCUAUGUAACACACACUCCCACCAGCUAUAGGGCUCCAGGGAGAAUCCCAGCCAGGCAAUGAACGAACAUCCCUUCCCUGAGAGCCCCAAGUUAACCUGCACAUGCAGCAAAAGUGGUUUUCAAGGCUGUCACUGAUGCCUUGGUGGCCACUCCAGCCUGGUACCUAUGAAUGAAGCUCCUACGAUCACCAGAUUCCUCCCAGUUGCCAGCUCUAAGAUCUUUCUAGAGUCUUCUGGGGUUUGGAGAAUGCACACGUUCUGCAGGUCUGCACCGGGAACUUUGAGGUAGCUGGAACUGAAAGAGAGAGAAUGCAGAUACAUCUUAUAGUCAGAAAUGAAACAGAAAGGAUGGAGUGGGAGCACAAGCCCAUGCAAUCUCUCGGCUGUGUCACCCCAUCCUGUCAUUUUAUCUCCUACCACCUCCCUCACACACACCUCUAGAAAACCCCCACACUCCUGUGUUGACCCAUCUUGUCCCAUCUAAAAUUUUGUGUACAGCAGAUGCUUUGUGUGCUUACUGGCUGCCUGUUGCAAUGAGCAGCUGAUGGUACUUCUGUGAAGAUCCAUCCAUGAAGCGGACCUUCUGCUUCUGGAAAUCCACCGACACUGCCUGCAUGAGAAAGGAGGCAAAGAUCAGACAGGUACCUCUGGACCACUGGUGCCCUGUCACAUCAGCUUGUUCGCUUGCCUGUGACUGCGUGCCCAAUUUCUGGACACUCAGGUGAGAUGAGGAAUGCUGGGGUCCUCUCUCUUACUUCCUACAGGUCUUAGGCUUUAGGAUCGCUCAGCGACAGCACCAAGUCCGGGUUGCUCUAAGGCUGAUUUGAAGGCUCACCCUCUUUGCAUGGGAUGGGCCCAUGGGUAGCACAGAUGAGUGUUACACCCAAGGUCUGCACACCAGCUCUUGGAGUGCUGUCCCAGAAAGUAACGCAUGUACUUAGGCAGAGCACUAAUUUAUACAAAUGUAGCCCUAUGCCUGCAGGUGUGGAUGUCCCCUCCCCAUGGCAGGUACAGGAUCACCCAUUGAGAACUGAAUUGGUUGCUCUUGUACCUCUUUCUCUGUCCACAUCUCUAUACCACGAGCACUAAGGAAUUCAGGUUUCCUGAGGUAGGCAUCCUCAGCUUUCAAGUUCAUUUGCUGGAAACAAAGGAGAAAUAUGAAAUAAAGCACUUCUUGCAGCCAGCAAUACUCUUGCAGUGUUUAUUGGGACAUAAGUUUGCAUAAGAGGCAAAUUUUGCAUUAGUAAAUCACAGCUCCCCACAUCAUCUUCCUGUCCCUCCUCAGAAAAACCCAUCAACUCAAACUCUAGCAAGAAGAACUCAGUCAAAGGGGGUAAAACCAUUAGCUUAUGGUGCACUGUGAUCAAGGACUUUCUGGGAGGAGGAAGUGAGAUGUUAGCUGGAAAUUAUACCCCUUUUCCUCGUGGGUGCCUCAGCACGCCUGCUUUGUCAGAACGGCUCAAUUUCUGUCUGGCCAAGAGUGUGGGCCGUGUCCCUAAUUCACACAUGGUACUCAGAGUCCUGCCCUUCUCACAUACAAACCUUGCUCAGUUUGGAUUUGUCAUACGGAACAUGGUUCUCUUUGGUGGCCAUGAUGAUCCUGCCAGUAAAGCCCUCUUGGCGAAGUGUCUCUGCACACGCGAGGGCAGCCACACCUACAAGAGAUGCUCAUCCCAGCCCUCUUAUAUGUCACUAAGGAGUAGGAGGAGGAAGGCACGUCCUCCCUGGAGAAGAGAGUGGCAGCUUACAGCAUCCGUGGAGAAUGCACAGUAUCACUUCACUGACCUCCUCCCAGAAGCAGCAUCGUGUCGUAGUUGAGAAGGCAUCGCAUGCUUGUGUCCUUCACUCUCCGACUGCUUUCAAGAUCCUAGAAGAAAAUGAGAAAUGCUGAAAUCACACCUAGCCCACAGUGCUGCUUGAGCUUAGCAACAGGAGGUAAGAUUUUAAGGAACAGGAACUGUUUGGCACCUCUACAAGUGCCUCAGAUGCCAAUUCUGCGUGUGGUUCAGUCUGCCGAUGCCCAGAAGCGCGUUCCCACGUGGAGAAGCAGCAGCCCUCGUAGAGGCUUUCUCUGACUCAGCAGAAAUCACUGAAAAAUGUUGUUGGCUUAUGGAUGAAAGCUGCAGCACACCGGCAAAGUGGCAGGUACGAAGGCAUGCAGCUGUGGGAGGCUUUGGGACGGGCCAGAUGGAGCGCGGUCCUGUGUGAUGGUGUUUGCGCUGUGGGGCUGAGCAGCUGGUUUGGCUGCUGGAUGCAGACAAGCACCUGAGUAAGAACUUUUGUAAAAUGCAAAGGGAUAAAGGCAAAACAAAGUGUCAA